GCCUGGGUGGCUCAGUCGGUUAAGCGCCUGACUUCUGCUCAGGUCAUGAUCUCACAGCUCGUGAGUUCGAGCCCUGCGUCAGGCU
Molecule: transfer RNA, 85 nt
Filed under: Felis catus (domestic cat)
Lineage: Eukaryota; Metazoa; Chordata; Mammalia; Carnivora; Felidae
Rfam family: tRNA
About the family: Transfer RNA (tRNA) molecules are approximately 80 nucleotides in length. Their secondary structure includes four short double-helical elements and three loops (D, anti-codon, and T loops).
Source: Rfam by way of RNAcentral